ACGAACGCUGGCGGCGUGCCUAACACAUGCAAGUCGAACGGGUCAGUGCUUCGCAUUGAUCACUUUGAGGUAGAGCCCAAACCCCCCUUUAAGGAUUUUAUUCUGAGAUUUUAGAGGGAGUUUGGGGAACCAGUCCCUCAGAGUAACCAAUGCGGAGCAUUGGUUAGUGGCGGACGGGUGAGUAACACGUAGGUAACCUGCCCUUGGGAGGGGGAUAACUCGAGGAAACUCGAGCUAAUACCCCAUAAAACCACAGACUGGGAUGUCAGUGGUAAAAAAGCUUUGUAUUAAGUGCAGGGCGCUUGAGGAUGGGCCUGCGGCCUAUCAGGUAGUUGGUGAGGUAAUGGCUCACCAAGCCUAAGACGGGUAGCCG
RNAcentral lists this ribosomal RNA (373 nucleotides) under uncultured bacterium. Its description in RNAcentral is "bacterial SSU rRNA". It matches the Rfam family "Bacterial small subunit ribosomal RNA", at positions 29 to 289 of the family's 1533-position model. The record is from RNAcentral.